This 274-nucleotide ribosomal RNA is filed under the name uncultured bacterium. Its description in RNAcentral is "partial 16S ribosomal RNA". It matches the Rfam family "Bacterial small subunit ribosomal RNA", at positions 523 to 796 of the family's 1533-position model. The record is from RNAcentral.
AUACGUAGGGUGCGAGCGUUAAUCGGAAUUACUGGGCGUAAAGCGUGCGCAGGCGGCUUUGCAAGACAGAGGUGAAAUCCCCGGGCUCAACCUGGGAACUGCCUUUGUGACUGCAAGGCUAGAGUACGGCUGAGGGGGAUGGAAUUCCGCGUGUAGCAGUGAAAUGCGUAGAUAUGCGGAGGAACACCAAUGGCGAAGGCAAUCCCCAGGGCCUGUACUGACGCUCAUGCACGAAAGCGUGGGGAGCAAACAGGAUUAGAAACCCGAGUAGUCC